RNAcentral lists this ribosomal RNA (465 nucleotides) under Vreelandella stevensii. RNAcentral's name for it is "partial 16S ribosomal RNA". It matches the Rfam family "Bacterial small subunit ribosomal RNA", at positions 338 to 795 of the family's 1533-position model. The record is from RNAcentral. Lineage: Bacteria; Pseudomonadati; Pseudomonadota; Gammaproteobacteria; Oceanospirillales; Halomonadaceae.
CCUACGGGAGGCUGCAGUGGGGAAUAUUGGACAAUGGGGGGAACCCUGAUCCAGCCAUGCCGCGUGUGUGAAGAAGGCCCUCGGGUUGUAAAGCACUUUCAGUGAGGAAGAACGCCUGGUGGUUAAUACCCAUCAGGAAAGACAUCACUCACAGAAGAAGCACCGGCUAACUCCGUGCCAGCAGCCGCGGUAAUACGGAGGGUGCGAGCGUUAAUCGGAAUUACUGGGCGUAAAGCGCGCGUAGGUGGCUUGAUAAGCCGGUUGUGAAAGCCCCGGGCUCAACCUGGGAACGGCAUCCGGAACUGGCAAGCUAGAGGGCAGGAGAGGAAGGUAGCACUCCCGGGGUAGCGGUGAAAUGCGUAGAGAUCGGGAGGAAUACCAGUGGCGAAGGAGGCCUUUUGGACUGACACUGACACUGAGGUGCGAAAGCGUGGGUAGCAAACAGGAUUAGAUACCCGAGUAGUC